GACGAACGCUGGCGGCGUGCUUAACACAUGCAAGUCGAACGGAAAGGCCCUGCUUUCGUGGGGUGCUCGAGUGGCGAACGGGUGGGUAACACGUGAGUAACCUGCCCUUGACUUUGGGAUAACUUCAGGAAACUGGGGCUAAUACCGGAUAGGAGCUCCUGCUGCAUGGUGGGGGUUGGAAAGUUUCGGCGGUUGGGGAUGGACUCGCGGCUUAUCAGCUUGUUGGUGGGGUAGUGGCUUACCAAGGCUUUGACGGGUAGCCGGCCUGAGAGGGUGACCGGCCACAUUGGGACUGAGAUACGGCCCAGACUCCUACGGGAGGCAGCAGUGGGGAAUAUUGCACAAUGGGCGGAAGCCUGAUGCAGCAACGCCGCGUGCGGGAUGACGGCCUUCGGGUUGUAAACCGCUUUCGCCUGUGACGAAGCGUGAGUGACGGUAAUGGGUAAAGAAGCACCGGCUAACUACGUG
RNAcentral lists this ribosomal RNA (468 nucleotides) under uncultured bacterium. RNAcentral describes it as "partial 16S ribosomal RNA". It matches the Rfam family "Bacterial small subunit ribosomal RNA", at positions 28 to 507 of the family's 1533-position model. The record is from RNAcentral.